UGGGGAAUUUUACGCAAUGGGGGAAACCCUGACGUAGCGACACCGCGUGAGCGAAGAAGCCUUUUGGGGUGUAAAGCUCUGUCAGCUGGAACGAACACAAUGACGGUACCAGCGGAGGAAGAAUCGGCUAAAUACGUGCCAGCAGCCGCGGUAAGACGUAGGAUGCAAGCGUUGUCCGGAUUCAUUGGGCGUAAAGAGUUCGUAGGUGGGCUGUUAAGUUUGGUGUUAAAGAGCGGGGCCCAACCCCGAUAGUGCACUGAAUACUGGCAGACUUGAGUGCGGUAGAGGUAAGUGGAAUUCCAAGUGUAGCGGUGAAAUGCAUAGAUAUUUGGAAGAACACCGGUGGCGUAAGCGACUUACUGGGCCGUAACUGACACUGAGGAACGAAAGCCGGGGUAGCGAAUG
This 405-nucleotide ribosomal RNA is filed under the name uncultured bacterium. Its description in RNAcentral is "bacterial SSU rRNA". It matches the Rfam family "Bacterial small subunit ribosomal RNA", at positions 355 to 774 of the family's 1533-position model. The record is from RNAcentral.